GAUGAACGCUGGCGGCGUGCCUAAUACAUGCAAGUCGAACGAAACUUCUUUAUCACCGAGUGCUUGCGCUCACCGAUAAAGAGUUGAGUGGCGAACGGGUGAGUAACACGUGGGCAACCUGCCCAAAAGAGGGGGAUAACACUUGGAAACAGGUGCUAAUACCGCAUAACCAUAGUUACCGCAUGGUAACUAUGUAAAAGGUGGCUAUACUACCGCUUUUGGAUGGGCCCGCGGCGCAUUAGCUAGUUGGUAGGGUAAAGGCUUACCAAGGCAAUGAUGCGUAGCAGAAUUGAGAGGUUGAUCGGCCACAUUGGGACUGAGACACGGCCCAAACUCCUACGGGAGGCAGCAGUAGGGAAUCUUCCACAAUGGGCGAAAGCCUGAUGGAGCAACGCCGCGUGGGUGAAGAAGGUCUUCGGAUCGUAAAACCCUGUUGUUAGAGAAGAAAGUGCGUGAGAGUAACUGUUCACGUUUCGACGGUAUCUAACCAGAAAGCCACGGCUAACUACGUG
RNAcentral lists this ribosomal RNA (512 nucleotides) under uncultured bacterium. RNAcentral's name for it is "partial 16S ribosomal RNA". It matches the Rfam family "Bacterial small subunit ribosomal RNA", at positions 28 to 507 of the family's 1533-position model. The record is from RNAcentral.